CGCUAGAUGAGUGCUAGGUGUUGGAGGGUUUCCGCCCUUCAGUGCCGGAGCUAACGCAUUAAGCACUCCGCCUGGGGAGUACGACCGCAAGGUUGAAACUCAAAGGAAUUGACGGGGGCCCGCACAAGCGGUGGAGCAUGUGGUUUAAUUCGAAGCUACGCGAAGAACCUUACCAGGUCUUGACAUCUUGCGCCAACCCUAGAGAUAGGGCGUUUCCUUCGGGAACGCAAUGACAGGUGGUGCAUGGUCGUCGUCAGCUCGUGUCGUGAGAUGUUGGGUUAAGUCCCGCAACGAGCGCAACCCUUGUUACUAGUUGCCAGCAUUAAGUUGGGCACUCUAGUGAGACUGCCGGUGACAAACCGGAGGAAGGUGGGGACGACGUCAGAUCAUCAUGCCCCUUAUGACCUGGGCUACACACGUGCUACAAUGGACGGUACAACGAGUCGCGAACUCGCGAGGGCAAGCAAAUCUCUUAAAACCGUUCUCAGUUCGGACUGCAGGCUGCAACUCGCCUGCACGAAGUCGGAAUCGCUAGUAAUCGCGGAUCAGCAUGCCGCGGUGAAUACGUUCCCGGGCCUUGUACACACCGCCCGUCACACCAUGAGAGUUUGUAACACCCAAAGUCGGUGGGGUAACCUUUUAGGAGCCAGCCGCCUAAGGUGGGACAGAUGAUUAGGGUGAAGUCGUACAAGGGUAACCGA
This 701-nucleotide ribosomal RNA is filed under the name Limosilactobacillus fermentum. Its description in RNAcentral is "bacterial SSU rRNA". It matches the Rfam family "Bacterial small subunit ribosomal RNA", at positions 798 to 1503 of the family's 1533-position model. The record is from RNAcentral. Lineage: Bacteria; Bacillati; Bacillota; Bacilli; Lactobacillales; Lactobacillaceae.